GGCCGCUUAGUUCAGUUGGAUGGAGCGUCGUGCUAAUAACGCCCUAAUCGCGGGUUCGAUUCCCGUAUUAGCCA
The sequence is a transfer RNA, 74 nucleotides long. It matches the Rfam family "tRNA". From Rfam's summary of the family: Transfer RNA (tRNA) molecules are approximately 80 nucleotides in length.